RNAcentral lists this long non-coding RNA (902 nucleotides) under Canis lupus familiaris (dog). Its description in RNAcentral is "lncRNA (ENSCAFG00000051159.1)". The record is from RNAcentral. Lineage: Eukaryota; Metazoa; Chordata; Mammalia; Carnivora; Canidae.
UACAUCACAUACUUUUAAAACCAAGAAUAAGGCUGGGAUAGGAAAGAUUAGAUGAGAAGGAAAUUGCAGUUGCAAGUGACAGGCAGAGGAAGUAAGUAAGGAGGAAGACCCUGGUGUGAGGAACAAGGAUACAGGAGGUCAGAGAUGUGUGGUCCAGAUUUCCCUGAACUUCAGUCCAGAAGGAAAAGAGCUAGAAGACCCAGAGAAGUUUCAUGAAGAGAUGGAGACCUCCUAAAGCAGAAGAAACAAUUGCCUGGCUUUUCAGGGAACAAACCAAGAAGACAUAAAGACUCACCUGGGAAAUAUGACGUCCACAAAGAUGCUCUCUUGGAAGUGACAUAAAUGUGAUAGUGUGCUGUUAUUGGGCAAACAGACUGACCAAUUAGCACUUGCACUCCUUCCCUGGCUCUCAAGUGUAUCAGAGAAAUCAAGAAACUCCUCUUGAUUUUGUCCUCUGCUGGGCCCAGAGUAGGGUCAGAAGAGAUAGUUAUUCAGAGGACUGGAAGUCUUGCCACAGGACAGCCAUAGUUAAUGAGGAUACCUAUAUCCUGUAUCUCCUACAUACAUCCAAGAGACAUAGGACUCUAGGACUUAUCCAAGAUGUGGACUACACAGAUGACAUGGCAGAGAUUCAAGGGACUUGUAAUGUCAGCAAGAGCCAAGUUUUGGGGAAUGCAGAAUUGGAAAAUGGAAACUACUGCGGAACCUGAGAGGCAAGAGGAAGGGAAAGACCUAGCAAGAGAGAAAACUGAAGUGGAAAUUGGAAAGUUCAACUAAGGUUACAUUAAAUGUUAACUUCUACCAGAAUUGAGGCUGCAAUGUUCACCAGCAGAACAGGUAAGCUGCAUUUUAUGAGUUCACAUUUAUUGGCCUCUACCAUGUACAGACAUUAGAAUCUGAAA